UACGUAGGGUGCGAGCGUUAAUCGGAAUUACUGGGCGUAAAGCGUGCGCAGGCGGCUUUUUAAGCCAGAUGUGAAAUCCCCGGGCUUAACCUGGGAACUGCAUUUGGAACUGGAAGGCUAGAGUGCGGCAGAGGGGGGUAGAAUUCCACGUGUGGCAGUGAAAUGCGUAGAGAUGUGGAGGAAUACCGAUGGCGAAGGCGGCAUCCUGGACCGAGAUUGACGCUGAUGCGCGAAAGCCAGGGGAGCAAACGGG
Molecule: ribosomal RNA, 253 nt
Filed under: uncultured bacterium
Lineage: Bacteria
Description: partial 16S ribosomal RNA
Rfam family: Bacterial small subunit ribosomal RNA
Source: RNAcentral